Molecule: ribosomal RNA, 1408 nt
Filed under: Staphylococcus aureus
Lineage: Bacteria; Bacillati; Bacillota; Bacilli; Caryophanales; Staphylococcaceae
Description: 16S ribosomal RNA
Rfam family: Bacterial small subunit ribosomal RNA
Source: RNAcentral
GUCGAGCGAACGGACGAGAAGCUUGCUUCUCUGAUGUUAGCGGCGGACGGGUGAGUAACACGUGGAUAACCUACCUAUAAGACUGGGAUAACUUCGGGAAACCGGAGCUAAUACCGGAUAAUAUUUUGAACCGCAUGGUUCAAAAGUGAAAGACGGUCUUGCUGUCACUUAUAGAUGGAUCCGCGCUGCAUUAGCUAGUUGGUAAGGUAACGGCUUACCAAGGCAACGAUGCAUAGCCGACCUGAGAGGGUGAUCGGCCACACUGGAACUGAGACACGGUCCAGACUCCUACGGGAGGCAGCAGUAGGGAAUCUUCCGCAAUGGGCGAAAGCCUGACGGAGCAACGCCGCGUGAGUGAUGAAGGUCUUCGGAUCGUAAAACUCUGUUAUUAGGGAAGAACAUAUGUGUAAGUAACUGUGCACAUCUUGACGGUACCUAAUCAGAAAGCCACGGCUAACUACGUGCCAGCAGCCGCGGUAAUACGUAGGUGGCAAGCGUUAUCCGGAAUUAUUGGGCGUAAAGCGCGCGUAGGCGGUUUUUUAAGUCUGAUGUGAAAGCCCACGGCUCAACCGUGGAGGGUCAUUGGAAACUGGAAAACUUGAGUGCAGAAGAGGAAAGUGGAAUUCCAUGUGUAGCGGUGAAAUGCGCAGAGAUAUGGAGGAACACCAGUGGCGAAGGCGACUUUCUGGUCUGUAACUGACGCUGAUGUGCGAAAGCGUGGGGAUCAAACAGGAUUAGAUACCCUGGUAGUCCACGCCGUAAACGAUGAGUGCUAAGUGUUAGGGGGGUUUCCGCCCCUUAGUGCUGCAGCUAACGCAUUAAGCACUCCGCCUGGGGAGUACGACCGCAAGGUUGAAACUCAAAGGAAUUGACGGGGACCCGCACAAGCGGUGGAGCAUGUGGUUUAAUUCGAAGCAACGCGAAGAACCUUACCAAAUCUUGACAUCCUUUGACAACUCUAGAGAUAGAGCCUUCCCCUUCGGGGGACAAAGUGACAGGUGGUGCAUGGUUGUCGUCAGCUCGUGUCGUGAGAUGUUGGGUUAAGUCCCGCAACGAGCGCAACCCUUAAGCUUAGUUGCCAUCAUUAAGUUGGGCACUCUAAGUUGACUGCCGGUGACAAACCGGAGGAAGGUGGGGAUGACGUCAAAUCAUCAUGCCCCUUAUGAUUUGGGCUACACACGUGCUACAAUGGACAAUACAAAGGGCAGCGAAACCGCGAGGUCAAGCAAAUCCCAUAAAGUUGUUCUCAGUUCGGAUUGUAGUCUGCAACUCGACUACAUGAAGCUGGAAUCGCUAGUAAUCGUAGAUCAGCAUGCUACGGUGAAUACGUUCCCGGGUCUUGUACACACCGCCCGUCACACCACGAGAGUUUGUAACACCCGAAGCCGGUGGAGUAACCUUUUAGGAG